AAGUCGUAACAAGGUUUCCGUAGGUGAACCUGCGGAAGGAUCAUUACCUAGAGUUGUAGGCUUUGCCUGCUAUCUCUUACCCAUGUCUUUUGAGUACCUUCGUUUCCUCGGCGGGUUCGCCCGCCGAUUGGACAAUUUAAACCAUUUGCAGUUGCAAUCAGCGUCUGAAAAAAACUUAAUAGUUACAACUUUCAACAACGGAUCUCUUGGUUCUG
RNAcentral lists this unclassified non-coding RNA (215 nucleotides) under air metagenome. RNAcentral describes it as "partial contains small subunit ribosomal RNA, internal transcribed spacer 1, and 5.8S ribosomal RNA". The stretch from base 1 to 46 matches the Rfam family "Eukaryotic small subunit ribosomal RNA", at positions 1786 to 1831 of the family's 1831-position model. The record is from RNAcentral.